UCGGCCUGGUUAUUCAUAACCCUUUGUUGUCCGACUCUGUUGCCUCCGGGGCGACCCUGCCUUCGGGCGGGGGCUCCGGGUGGACACUUCAAACUCUUGCGUAACUUUGCAGUCUGAGUAAACUUAAUUAAUAAAUUAAAACUUUUAACAACGGAUCUCUUGGUUCUGGCAUCGAUGAAGAACGCAGCGAAAUGCGAUAAGUAAUGUGAAUUGCAGAAUUCAGUGAAUCAUCGAAUCUUUGAACGCACAUUGCGCCCCCUGGUAUUCCGGGGGGCAUGCCUGUUCGAGCGUCAUUUCACCACUCAAGCCUCGCUUGGUAUUGGGCAACGCGGUCCGCCGCGUGCCUCAAAUCGUCCGGCUGGGUCUUCUGUCCCCUAAGCGUUGUGGAAACUAUUCGCUAAAGGGUGUUCGGGAGGCUACGCCGUAAAACAACCCCAUUUCUAAGGUUGACCUCGGAUCAGGUAGGGAUACCCGCUGAACUUAAGCAUAUCAUA
This 494-nucleotide ribosomal RNA is filed under the name Cladosporium herbarum. Its description in RNAcentral is "eukaryotic LSU rRNA". The stretch from base 140 to 293 matches the Rfam family "5.8S ribosomal RNA". The record is from RNAcentral. Lineage: Eukaryota; Fungi; Ascomycota; Dothideomycetes; Cladosporiales; Cladosporiaceae.